GUGCUUGCUUCGGCAGCACAUAUACUAGAAUUGGAACAAUACAGAGACGAUUAGCAUGGCCCCUGGGCAAGGAUGACACGCAAAUUCGUGAAGUGUUCCAUAUUUUU
This is a small nuclear RNA of Meriones unguiculatus (Mongolian gerbil), 107 nucleotides long. NCBI's taxonomy places the organism in Eukaryota, Metazoa, Chordata, Mammalia, Rodentia, Muridae. The record is from Ensembl.